AGGCUAUCACUGGCUCGGCCAGCAUUUAUUGCUGCGUUUACCCAGUGGGCAGUUAAGAAUCAACCACGUUGCUAUAGGUCUGGAGUCCCAUGCAGACCAGACCAGGGAUCUGCACUGGAACCCUUCUGUUUGCGGGACAAAUAUAUAUAAGUGACAUGGAUUAAAAUCUAAUUUGGUCAACACAUCCAUGAACCAAGCAAUGAUUCCUCAUCCAACACUCACAGGAAAUAUCUGAUGCCUUCUCAUUUGAAUGUUCACA
This is a long non-coding RNA of Hemiscyllium ocellatum (epaulette shark), 259 nucleotides long. RefSeq lists it as uncharacterized. NCBI's taxonomy places the organism in Eukaryota, Metazoa, Chordata, Chondrichthyes, Orectolobiformes, Hemiscylliidae. The record is from RefSeq and is a predicted model, not a curated record. The transcript has 3 exons.